AACGCGAAGAACCUUACCUCGCGGUUUCAUCUCCGGAAUCCAGCAGAGAGGCAGGAGUGCUCCCUGGAAUCGGAACACAGGUGCUGCAUGGCUGUCGUCAGCUCGUGUCGUGAGAUGUUGGGUUAAGUCCCGCAACGAGCGCAACCCUUGUCCUUAGUUGCCAGCACGUAAUGGUGGGGACUCUAAGGAGACUGCCGGUGACAAACCGGAGGAAGGUGGGGAUGACGUCAAGUCAUCAUGCCCCUUAUGUCCAGGGCUUCACACGUGCUACAAUGGCCGGUACAAAGGGUUGCUAUACCGCGAGGUGGAGCCAAUCCCAGAAAGCCGAUCUCAGUUCGGAUUGGGGUCUGCAACUCGACCUUCGUGAAGUCGGAGUCGCUAGUAAUCGCAGAUCAGCAACACCUUCCCGGGUCUUGUACACACCG
RNAcentral lists this ribosomal RNA (425 nucleotides) under uncultured bacterium. RNAcentral describes it as "bacterial SSU rRNA". It matches the Rfam family "Bacterial small subunit ribosomal RNA", at positions 958 to 1392 of the family's 1533-position model. The record is from RNAcentral.